CCCAAGGUGGGGUCUGACGCCCCCGACAAUAUGACCUUGGCUAGGCGCCUUCUUUCCUCUGGGCCUCAAUUCCCUCCAAGCCAGGGUUGACCUCGGAUGUGCAUCCUUCUGUCUGAGGCCUGCCCUGAUUAUGGGCCAUCUCUCCUGCUCAGGGCUUCCUUGUUCUUGUGGGGUGGUGGACAGAGCCUGCUCUGGAGUUGGACCAACCUGUGUUUAAAUCUCCUUUCUGCUACUUGUUGGCCUUGUGACUUUAGGCAAGCUGCCUACUAUCUCU
Molecule: long non-coding RNA, 274 nt
Filed under: Homo sapiens (human)
Lineage: Eukaryota; Metazoa; Chordata; Mammalia; Primates; Hominidae
Description: non-protein coding lnc-RCOR2-2:1
Source: RNAcentral